RNAcentral lists this ribosomal RNA (440 nucleotides) under uncultured bacterium. RNAcentral describes it as "partial 16S ribosomal RNA". It matches the Rfam family "Bacterial small subunit ribosomal RNA", at positions 338 to 795 of the family's 1533-position model. The record is from RNAcentral.
CCUACGGGAGGCAGCAGUGGGGAAUAUUGCACAAUGGGGGAAACCCUGAUGCAGCGACGCCGCGUGUGUGAAGAAGUAAUUCGGUAUGUAAAGCUCUAUCAGCAGGGAAGAAAAUGACGGUACCUGAGUAAGAAGCCCCGGCUAACUACGUGCCAGCAGCCGCGGUAAUACGUAGGGGGCAAGCGUUAGCCGGAUUUACUGGGUGUAAAGGGAGCGUAGACGGCAGUGCAAGUCUGGAGUGAAAGGCGGGGGCUCAACCCCCGGACUGCUCUGGAAACUGUACGGCUGGAGUGCAGGAGAGGGAAGUGGAAUUCCUAGUGUAGCGGUGAAAUGCGUAGAUAUCAGGAGGAACACCAGUGGCGAAGGCGGCUUACUGGACUGUAACUGACGUUGAGGCUCGAAAGCGUGGGGAGCAAACAGGAUUAGAUACCCCAGUAGUC